UACGUAGGGGGCUAGCGUUGUCCGGAUUUAUUGGGCGUAAAGAGCUUGUAGGCGGUUUGUCGCGUCUGCCGUGAAAAUCCGGGGCUCAACCCCGGACUUGCGGUGGGUACGGGCAGACUAGAGUGUGGUAGGGGAGACUGGAAUUCCUGGUGUAGCGGUGAAAUGCGCAGAUAUCAGGAGGAACACCGAUGGCGAAGGCAGGUCUCUGGGCCACUACUGACGCUGAGAAGCGAAAGCGUGGGGAGCGAACAGG
Molecule: ribosomal RNA, 253 nt
Filed under: uncultured bacterium
Lineage: Bacteria
Description: partial 16S ribosomal RNA
Rfam family: Bacterial small subunit ribosomal RNA
Source: RNAcentral